This 2563-nucleotide long non-coding RNA is filed under the name Triticum aestivum (bread wheat). RNAcentral describes it as "long non-coding RNA (TAES_LNC008844)". Lineage: Eukaryota; Viridiplantae; Streptophyta; Magnoliopsida; Poales; Poaceae. The record is from RNAcentral.
GAUCUCCUCGUUCUGAUUCGCUGCCUCUCUCUCUCCCUCCCGCGCCCCCCUCCCUGGAUCCCUGCCCCGCCGCCGCCGUCGCCGCUCGCCCGCGCACCCGUCGCGCCUGCUCGUGGUGCAGCCACGCCUCCGCCGUGGCGCUUGCCUCCCGUGCACACGGCAGGUGCUCCGCCUCUUCCUCCCAUCCGGCCAGAUCUGCGGCGCACGGUCUCUCGCUCUAGCUCGCAACCCUCAGCCGUGGCUUGGGUUUCGGGCUGGGCAUCGCCUUCGUCGACGGCGCGGCUCCGUUGGACUCCGGCGGCUCCUCUCCGUCUCCUUCCUCGCCCCCACACGCGGCUCCACUUCCCGCUGGCCAUGGGGCUGGCCGGCAGCAGCGCCUCCCUCCCUCCCUCCCUGCCGCGGCCGGUCCCGCCGCACGGAGCAGCGCCGCUGACGGGUCCAUCGGCAGGUAGCCCCACCGCUCCUUCCUCCUCCCUCUUCCUUCACCACGACCUCCCUUGUUGCAUCCUCUGUCCAUUCAAUUUCUGUUUUCCUGACUCGUGUCGGACGAGUGGUUGCUGUGGUAGAUUGGGUGUCGUGAGGAUGUAUGCAAUGACGACUGUUUCUGGAUGAGUAGUAGUUGCCGCGUGAUUUUCCCACUACGUGUUCGAGUUCACAUCUGAUGGGAUUUUGCCUGAUAGGUGCCUGUGGUAAUGCUUGCAGGGGCAAAUAUUGGUAACUCGUAGUUUGACUUUUUUCAGAUGAGCUAAUGUACUGCAUGUUAGCAGCAGUGAAAAAUGUUAUACUAACGAUAUAUAUAUUUAAUCUACACUACCUUGACCUGAAAUCAUCGAAGCUUAUAGCAGUAGCGUGCAGUUUGAGAGCAGCAGGAGCUUCGCCUUGGUUGUACUGGCCCAGAUUGGUUGACACAUUGGUUAAUUGUCCAUGUGUACAAUCCUGUUGAUUGUGGAGCAGUAAGGAACAAUAGGGAAUUUUUAUGACCUGGACUUAUCAUGUGUGAAUAAAAUUAGGAACAUACACGUUCUUCAGACCUUGUUGAUCAACAAAAUUAUUGCCAAAAAAGUUGAUACACAUGUUGAUCUGUAGGUUUAUUCGUACAAGGUACUCUUGUGAGUAUUUUCCAUUUUGAAAUUGAAAAUAAGCUGUCAAAACUGAAAUAAAUCGGAGUACUGAAGAUCUGCUUGUACUGCCAUUUUUUUUUGAACUGUGCAGCAAAAGAAAUAGUUGCCAAUCAGUUAGUAGCAUAAUCAUUGACAGGGAGUAUUUAGGACAAUCCAUGAGGUAUACUUAGAUGCAAAAAAAUUCUGUUAGAAGCUGUUCUUUUUUUCUGUGUGCAACUUAGGUAUAUGGGGUUCAGGAAUAUCAUAUGUGCUGAAUUUUACUGUCAAAAUUGGAGAUCGGAUCCAGCUCCAUAAUUUUACUGUAUGAGCCAGCCUGUAUAAUUUUCAGUUUGUAGAGCUCUGUGUUGUUCUAUUUUUCUAUUGUUGAUCAGAUCCAUGUUGUCCUAAAUUGUAAAGUACAGCUACAAGUCUAAACCUGGACAUUUUCAGAAACUGGACAUUUUUAGAACCUGAACAUUUUCAGUUAGUGGCUCAAAAUUGUUCGUAUCUUAACGGGCAUUCUGAUCUGUCUUUUUUGGUAGCUGCGGGUUCAAAAGCGCAGUAAUGAUAUUUGCUUACAGUUACUUCAAGUACUACACUUGGUUUAUCUUUUAGGGGAAAUCAGUUUUGUUUACACUGAAAAUAAUUUGUGUGCUUAUCCCAUUAACUUGAGUGUGUUAUUACAGGUUGCAGGAAUAGCUUUAUAUUAGGAGCAGCUUCUCCACCACCACUCAGCGGUAGAGGAGGUGUGCUUCUUCCCCAACACAACAUAGCGGCAGCCACGGUAUCCUCGGCCCUCUCCCUCUAUCUACCCUCUUCUGUUCCUUACCGAAAAAUCAUUUUUUACCUUGUAUAAUACUUGUGAUUUGGACCGAUUUGUGUUUUGGGGGGCAUCAAUUUGGUGCUUCCCCUGUCCAUGUGCUGCAGAGAAAAGGAGAAGAAGGGGAUGGAUGAGCAAGGACCAGAAGGACCUAAAGAAGAAGGGCAAGGGAGGUGGGGCGAUAUGCAUGUCCAGGGAGGUCCGUCCCCCUCUCCUCCUCUUAUCUUUCCUUGUACUGCAGCAGCCCUUAAUCACCAUAACCACAUUAAUGGCCAAGCACGAGGUGAAAAUACUCUCUUCAUCUCUCAUUUCUGUUAAAUGAAUAGUUACUUGACUUGAUGCUGGCUAGGAUCUAUAUGGGGCUAGGAAAUGUUUUGUCUGACUAUCACCAUGAAUAUGCAAUGUCCAUUAUUUUCUAAAUUUUGUUAGUUCCACUCUGGAAGCACACCUUGCACAAUAAGAUAAAUGCUGCAUGGGGCGCCAUGGCUUGGUUAACUCAUUAAUGUGCUAUUUAUUUUGUGUUUUAGAAACUAAUUCAUAUGGAGAGCCUUUUUGCUCGGUCAAAUCUGAGUUAUGGUGGUAGCUGUAGCUGAAAGGUUAACUCAAUAAUUUCUGAAAUGCAUAAUUAAUACUUGCAUUACAU